This 668-nucleotide ribosomal RNA is filed under the name uncultured Actinomycetales bacterium. RNAcentral's name for it is "bacterial SSU rRNA". It matches the Rfam family "Bacterial small subunit ribosomal RNA", at positions 64 to 745 of the family's 1533-position model. Lineage: Bacteria; Bacillati; Actinomycetota; Actinomycetes; Actinomycetales. The record is from RNAcentral.
GAACGGAAAGGCCCUGCUUGCAGGGUACUCGAGUGGCGAACGGGUGAGUAACACGUGGGUGAUCUGCCCUGCACUUCGGGAUAAGCUUGGGAAACUGGGUCUAAUACCGGAUAGGAGCCAUCUUUAGUGUGGUGGUUGGAAAGUUUUUUCGGUGUAGGAUGAGCUCGCGGCCUAUCAGCUUGUUGGUGGGGUAAUGGCCUACCAAGGCGGCGACGGGUAGCCGGCCUGAGAGGGUGUACGGCCACAUUGGGACUGAGAUACGGCCCAGACUCCUACGGGAGGCAGCAGUGGGGAAUAUUGCACAAUGGGCGCAAGCCUGAUGCAGCGACGCCGCGUGGGGGAUGAAGGCCUUCGGGUUGUAAACUCCUUUCGCUAGGGACGAAGCUUUGUGUGACGGUACCUAGAUAAGAAGCACCGGCUAACUACGUGCCAGCAGCCGCGGUAAUACGUAGGGUGCGAGCGUUGUCCGGAAUUACUGGGCGUAAAGAGCUCGUAGGUGGUUUGUCGCGUCGUCUGUGAAAUUCUGGGGCUUAACUCCGGGCGUGCAGGCGAUACGGGCAUAACUUGAGUGCUGUAGGGGUAACUGGAAUUCCUGGUGUAGCGGUGAAAUGCGCAGAUAUCAGGAGGAACACCGAUGGCGAAGGCAGGUUACUGGGCAGUUACUGACG